UACGUAGGGUGCAAGCGUUGUCCGGAUUUACUGGGCGUAAAGAGCGCGCAGGCGGUCGUUCAAGUCGAGUGUGAAAGCCCCCGGCUCAACUGGGGAGGGUCACUCGAUACUGAUCGACUUGAAGGCAGGAGAGGGAAGUGGAAUUCCCGGUGUAGUGGUGAAAUGCGUAGAUAUCGGGAGGAACACCAGUGGCGAAGGCGACUUCCUGGCCUGUUCUUGACGCUGAGGCGCGAAAGCUAGGGGAGCAAACGGG
This 253-nucleotide ribosomal RNA is filed under the name uncultured bacterium. RNAcentral's name for it is "partial 16S ribosomal RNA". It matches the Rfam family "Bacterial small subunit ribosomal RNA", at positions 524 to 776 of the family's 1533-position model. The record is from RNAcentral.